UGAUCCUACGGGACGCAGCAGUGGGGAAUAUUGCGCAAUGGGGGAAACCCUGACGCAGCAACACCGCGUGCAGGAAGAAGGUCUUCGGAUUGUAAACUGUUGUCGCAGGGGAAGAAGACAGUGACGGUACCCUGUGAGAAAGUCACGGCUAACUACGUGCCAGCAGCCGCGGUAAUACGUAGGUGGCGAGCGUUAUCCGGAAUGAUUGGGCGUAAAGGGUGCGCAGGCGGUCCUGCAAGUCUGGAGUGAAACGCAUGAGCUCAACUCAUGCAUGGCUUUGGAAACUGGAGGACUGGAGAGCAGGG
This 305-nucleotide ribosomal RNA is filed under the name uncultured bacterium. Its description in RNAcentral is "bacterial SSU rRNA". It matches the Rfam family "Bacterial small subunit ribosomal RNA", at positions 334 to 653 of the family's 1533-position model. The record is from RNAcentral.